Molecule: ribosomal RNA, 462 nt
Filed under: uncultured bacterium
Lineage: Bacteria
Description: partial 16S ribosomal RNA
Rfam family: Bacterial small subunit ribosomal RNA
Source: RNAcentral
AACAAACGCUGGCGGCGUGCCUAAUACAUGCAAGUCGAACGGGGAAAGUAGCAAUAUGAGUACUAGUGGCGCACGGGUGAGUAACGCGUGGAUAAUCUGCCUUGAAGAGGGGGAUAACUAGUCGAAAGAUUAGCUAAUACCGCAUAAGACCACAAGAACUGAGGUUCAAGGGGUCAAAGGUUUUUCGCUUCAAGAUGAGUCCGCGUAAGAUUAGCUAGUUGGUGAGGUAAUGGCUCACCAAGGCAACGAUCUUUAACUGGUCUGAGAGGAUGAUCAGUCACACUGGAACUGAGACACGGUCCAGACUCCUACGGGAGGCAGCAGUAGGGAAUAUUGCAGAAUGGAGGAAACUCUGAUGCAGCGACGCCGCGUGAGUGAUGAAGGCCUUCGGGUCGUAAAGCUCUGUCGCAGGGGAAUAACACAAUGAAUGUACCCUGUAAGAAAGGAUCGGCUAACUUCGUG